RNAcentral lists this ribosomal RNA (216 nucleotides) under Glomeromycotina sp. Its description in RNAcentral is "partial small subunit ribosomal RNA". The stretch from base 40 to 216 matches the Rfam family "Eukaryotic small subunit ribosomal RNA", at positions 686 to 864 of the family's 1831-position model. Lineage: Eukaryota; Fungi; Glomeromycota. The record is from RNAcentral.
GGGUCAGUAGGUUGGUCGUGCCACCGGUACGUACUGGUCUCACUGAUUCCUCCUUCCUGAAGAACCGUAAUGCCAUUAAUUUGGUGUUGCGGGGAAACAGGACUGUUACUUUGAAAAAAUUAGAGUGUUUAAAGCAAGCUAACGCUUGAAUACAUUAGCAUGGAAUAAUGAAAUGGGGCGAUCGAUCCUAUUUUGUUGGUUUCUAGGAUUGACGUA